RNAcentral lists this ribosomal RNA (390 nucleotides) under uncultured bacterium. Its description in RNAcentral is "bacterial SSU rRNA". It matches the Rfam family "Bacterial small subunit ribosomal RNA", at positions 32 to 415 of the family's 1533-position model. The record is from RNAcentral.
AAUCAACGCUGGCGGCGUGCCUCAGACAUGCAAGUCGAACGAUUAAACUUUCCUUCGGGAAAGAUAUAAAGUGGCGCACGGGUGAGUAACACGUAGGUAAUGUACCUUUGGGUGGGGAAUAACCAUCGGAAACGAUGGCUAAUACCGCAUAAUGCAGCGGCAUCGCAAGAUGACAGUUGUUAAAGAUUUAUCGCCUAAAGAGCAGCCUGCGGCAGAUUAGGAGUUGGUAAGGUAAUGGCUUACCAAGCCUGCGAUCUGUAACCGACCUGAGAGGGUGGUCGGUCACACUGACACUGAAUAACGGGUCAGACUCCUACGGGAGGCAGCAGUCGGGAAUUUUGGGCAAUGGGCGAAAGCCUGACCCAGCAACGCCGCGUGAAGGACGAAGUC